Molecule: ribosomal RNA, 435 nt
Filed under: Triticum aestivum (bread wheat)
Lineage: Eukaryota; Viridiplantae; Streptophyta; Magnoliopsida; Poales; Poaceae
Description: partial small subunit ribosomal RNA
Source: RNAcentral
AUGCCACAACCCCUCCCUCCCUCUUCGAUCUCUCUCCCUCCUCAGCCGCCACAAACCCUAGCCCCCUUUCCUACGAUCCAGCCGUCGCUACCCCUCCUCCAUCCAACCUCCAUCGUCAGCCGCCGCCGCCGCUACGGCUCCUCCGUCCACCGACUCCGUCCGUGCAGGUGGCCAGUUUCCUUCCGCCUCGACCUUCUCCACGGUCUCCCCAGUUCACCCCCCAUCCCUUGCUGCCCGAGGUGCUCAUCUUCCCAGGUCGUGAGGAAGCCGCGUGGGGAUGGAACCACCACGUCGUGCCGCUGGGGGAAGCCUUGGAUCCACGCAGGGGGCCUCCCCGGGGGCGCAGAGGAGGGGUUGUGGAGGCGUGAGGCCAGAAGGACCCCUCUUGCGUCGCUCGUCUCCACCUCAUAUCCGGCAUCUUUGCUGCCGCCAUAG